This 760-nucleotide ribosomal RNA is filed under the name uncultured Acaulospora. Its description in RNAcentral is "LSU rRNA". It matches the Rfam family "Eukaryotic large subunit ribosomal RNA", at positions 47 to 694 of the family's 3401-position model. Lineage: Eukaryota; Fungi; Glomeromycota; Glomeromycetes; Diversisporales; Acaulosporaceae. The record is from RNAcentral.
UAAGCGGAGGAAAAGAAACUAACAAGGAUUCCCUUAGUAACGGCGAGUGAAGUGGGAAAAAGCUCAAAUUUUAAAUCACCAAGGUUUCUUUGGUGAAUUGUAAUUUGAAGAAAGUGUUUUGAUAUUCGGGUUUUAUCUAAAUCCUUUGGGAUAAGGUAUCAUAGAGGGUGAGAAUCCCGUCCAUGAUUAAACCUUGAUGUCACCUAAUUCACUUUCCAAGAGUCGAGUUGUUUGGGAUUGCAGCUCAAAAUGGGUGGUAAAUUUCACCUAAGGCUAAAUAUAUGCAAGAGACCGAUAGCGAACAAGUACCGUGAGGGAAAGAUGAAAAGAACUUUGAAAAGAGAGUUAAAUAGUACGUGAAAUUGUUGAAAGGGAAACGAUUAAAGUCAGUCAUGCUAGUGAGGAAUCAACUUGAUGGAUCGUAUCUUAUGAUCUUUCUGGUGCACUUUCUUGCUUGGUAGGUUAGCAUCAAUUUCGGGUAUCAUUAAAAAAUUCGAGGGAAUGUAGCUUUCUUUCGGGAAAGUGUUAUAGACUUCGAUAGAAUGUGGUGACCGAGAUUGAGGAUUGCAGCGGAUACCCUUUUGGGCUAGUCACCUGGCUUCUGAUGGUUGCCCCGUCUUCGAUAGCUUGCUAACGGUUGGUGGGAUUCAAUUAUCUAGAUGUUGGAGUGAUCAUAAAUUCGCUAAGGAUGCUGACGUAAUGGCUUUAAACGACCCGUCUUGAAACACGGACCAAGGAGUCUAACAUGUGUGCGAGUGUU